This 112-nucleotide ribosomal RNA is filed under the name Caerostris darwini. Lineage: Eukaryota; Metazoa; Arthropoda; Arachnida; Araneae; Araneidae. The record is from RNAcentral.
AACGGCCGUACCAUGCUGAAUAUACCGGUUCUUGUUAGAUCACCGAAGUCAAGCAUCAUUGGGCGCGGUCAGUACUUGGGUGGGUGACCAUCUGGGAACACUGCGUGCCGUU